RNAcentral lists this ribosomal RNA (758 nucleotides) under uncultured bacterium. RNAcentral's name for it is "bacterial SSU rRNA". It matches the Rfam family "Bacterial small subunit ribosomal RNA", at positions 626 to 1386 of the family's 1533-position model. The record is from RNAcentral.
UUNUGAACUGGGUGACUAGAGUGUGUCAGAGGGAGGUAGAAUNCCACGUGUAGCAGUGAAAUGCGUAGAGAUGUGGAGGANUACCGAUGGCGAAGGCAGCNUCCUGGGAUAACACUGACGUUCAUGCCCGAAAGCGUGGGUAGCAAACAGGAUUAGAUACCNUGGUAGUCCACGCCCUAAACGAUGUCGAUUAGCUGUUGGGCAGCAUGACUGCUUAGUAGCGAAGCUAACGCGUGAAAUCGACCGCCUGGGGAGUACGGUCGCAAGAUUAAAACUCAAAGGAAUUGACGGGGACCCGCACAAGCGGUGGAUGAUGUGGAUUAAUUCGAUGCAACGCGAAGAACCUUACCUGGUCUUGACAUGUACGGAACCCUCCAGAGACGGAGGGGUGCCUUCGGGAGCCGUACACAGGUGCUGCAUGGCUGUCGUCAGCUCGUGUCGUGAGAUGUUGGGUUAAGUCCCGCAACGAGCGCAACCCUUGUCAUUAGUUGCCAUCAUUAAGUUGGGCACUCUAAUGAGACUGCCGGUGACGAGCCGGAGGAAGGUGGGGAUGACGUCAAGUCCUCAUGGCCCUUAUGACCAGGGCUUCACACGUCAUACAAUGGUCGGUACAGAGGGUAGCCAAGCCGCGAGGUGGAGCCAAUCUCACAAAACCGAUCGUAGUCCGGAUUGCACUCUGCAACUCGAGUGCAUGAAGUCGGAAUCGCUAGUAAUCGCAGGUCAGCAUACUGCGGUGAAUACGUUCCCGGGUCUUGUAC